UACGAAGGGGGCUAGCGUUGUUCGGAAUUACUGGGCGUAAAGCGCACGUAGGCGGGUUUGUAAGUAGAGGGUGAAAUCCCAGGGCUCAACCCUGGAACUGCCUUCUAGACUGCAAGCCUGGAGGUCAGGAGAGGCGAGCGGAAUUCCGAGUGUAGAGGUGAAAUUCGUAGAUAUUCGGAGGAACACCAGUGGCGAAGGCGGCUCGCUGGACUGAUACUGACGCUGAGGUGCGAAAGCGUGGGGAGCAAAC
This 250-nucleotide ribosomal RNA is filed under the name uncultured bacterium. Its description in RNAcentral is "partial 16S ribosomal RNA". It matches the Rfam family "Bacterial small subunit ribosomal RNA", at positions 524 to 773 of the family's 1533-position model. The record is from RNAcentral.